Long non-coding RNA from Gasterosteus aculeatus aculeatus (three-spined stickleback), 1590 nucleotides. Lineage: Eukaryota; Metazoa; Chordata; Actinopteri; Perciformes; Gasterosteidae. The record is from Ensembl.
CCUGCUUUGAGUCUCACGGAUGCACAUCACAGGAAGCUCCUGAUCUCCCACGAAAGUUGUUUCUAACACCUUCUCCCUCUGCUCCCCUUUGUUCUCCGCAAUGAGCACCUAUGCUCUGCCGCCGCCUCCGCCAUUAGAGAACAAAUGUACCGAGCAACGGCAAUUUCUUUGAGGAGGCAUCGCCUCCUGCUGCUCCAGAUUACAGCUCAUUAGUAGCGGCGUCGGAGAGACACAGCCCACACCGCGGCUCCCCCCCGAUCCCCUCGUCGCUUCCUGCAAUCCCGGUGUGGCGGGACACCGUGACAAAAGCGGCGGAGGUGGUGGUUGUGACGGUGGGGUGUUUUGGACGGGGGGCAAAGACAAGCAGCGAGGGGACUCACAGUUCACCGUUUGCCAGCUGCUGGUGGAGAUGCGAAGAAGCGCUUCGGGGGACUGGAAUGGCGUUGAAGUGAAAGGAAUGCCAGGUUGUUGUCCAAGAGGACGGCGUGUCGCGUUGCUGGCUUGAUCGAGGACCACACGGCGCUGCUGCUGGUUGCCAGAUUUUGGAUUAUCCCGCCUAACAAUGGGCCAAAAGGACCGUUUGGACCGUCUCUCCCUCCGAGCUGCCAGGGGCCGCUCUGCCCCCCCGGCCCCCCAAAGGCUCUCCUCCCCAUUGCACGCACAUGGACGCACGGCCUCUCUGGGACCAGGCUCCCCCCCCCCUCACAUUGAGACUGUUAUUUAACGUGUCCUUGUGUUUAUGGCCAUCCAGUGGCCCACAAGAGAGCCGUGACUUUUAUUAAGUUGGCUGUCCGCUGUGCGUCUGCAGAACCUGUCUUUGUGUUUGACAUCUGCUGGGAGCAACGCUGGAAUACGUGACCUCCAGGCGCGCAGACAGAACGUAACCAUGGUGGAGACCAGGAUCAGAUCACACUCCGGCUGUCAGAGUCACGACCCCAACUGGAUCAGAGUGAAACCCGUGAAAUAGAACCGGCGCUUUCAGCGUCAGAACCCCAAACCAAAUCUGUCACUCAAACGGCAAACGGAGACCCAGGAAAGGCAGGAGGAGCAAAUGGGAAAGAGAGGAAUUCCUAGAUAGAAAAAUAAGAUAUGCGACCUGGAUCGAUGUCCAGAAGAGGGCCAUUAUACAGACCAGCAGAGAAGACAUCUUCUUGGUGCUGAAGCUUUAAAGGAGAAAAUAGUGGGGAAGCAGCCAAAAAGCCACACAGGCGACUGGAGAUGUAAGACAAGCAGCGGAUGCUGGACGAAAUGGGAAUGAGGAAUAAACCGAUAAAGAAAAACAAAAGGAUCCAGAUACUUUGAUUGUGGCUUCGGGAUGAUUAGUAUGCAAUGUAAUGUCAUGAUAUAGUGUGUCAUAAAAAAACUCAUAAAAAGUCAUAGUAAAGCAUGCAAUAAUAUUUUUGUGAAAAUCUCAUAAAAUAGCAGCUCAUGAAACAUGUCAUAAUAUAUGAUAAAUCUUUGAAAUAAUGCCAUAGCAAUAUCUUCGAAAUGUAAUGAAUAUCAUCAUGAAAAAGUCAUAGAAAUCAUAGCAUGGUUUGUCAUACUUUUAUCUUGUAUGUAUCUGGACUUUUAUCCAAUUUUCAACCUCAU